RNAcentral lists this ribosomal RNA (252 nucleotides) under uncultured bacterium. Its description in RNAcentral is "partial 16S ribosomal RNA". It matches the Rfam family "Bacterial small subunit ribosomal RNA", at positions 524 to 776 of the family's 1533-position model. The record is from RNAcentral.
UACGGAGGGGGCUAGCGUUAUUCGGAAUUACUGGGCGUAAAACGCACGUAGGCGGAUUAACAAGUCAGAGGUGAAAUCCCAGGGCUCAACCUUGGAACUGCCUUGAAACUGUUUCUCUUGAGGUCGUGAGAGGUGAGUGGAAUUCCGAGUGUAGAGGUGAAAUUCGUAGAUAUUCGGAGGAACACCAGUGGCGAAGGCGGCUCACUGGCACGAUACUGACGCUGAGGUGCGAAAGCGUGGGGAGCAAACAGG